GUGGCUGUAGCUCAGCUGGUUAGAGCACCGGCUUGUGGUGCCGGAUGUCGCGGGUUCGAAUCCCGUCAGCCACCCCA
Molecule: transfer RNA, 77 nt
Filed under: Alphaproteobacteria bacterium
Lineage: Bacteria; Pseudomonadati; Pseudomonadota; Alphaproteobacteria
Description: tRNA-His
Rfam family: tRNA
About the family: Transfer RNA (tRNA) molecules are approximately 80 nucleotides in length. Their secondary structure includes four short double-helical elements and three loops (D, anti-codon, and T loops).
Source: RNAcentral